Zonotrichia albicollis (white-throated sparrow) is the source of this 3445-nucleotide non-coding RNA. The record is from RefSeq and is a predicted model, not a curated record. Lineage: Eukaryota; Metazoa; Chordata; Aves; Passeriformes; Passerellidae.
AACAGAAAAGAGUUAAAAUUAUGCAGGUGCCAACCAAAAUUCUCUUCCUUUCUGUCAUUUUUAGAUAACCAUAAAUAACAGAAGCACAUAGGUUUGAUUACAUUCGUACUUUUCUUUCAUCCAGAAUUUAGCACAUGCCCCACAGAUAACAUGGGAAAUGUCUUAAGGCUGAAGGGAGGCAAGUGUUGAGGGCAGCUCCAUUCAGAUGGGGAUUUCCCACCCAGUAUAAACUGGUGCUGUUGUGUCAAAGACUCCACAGCAUCCUAAGCAAGCAGCAGGGCAUGCACCUUUUCUCUCUGGUGCUGGGGCAGCAUUGUGUGACAGGCUGCUGUCUGGAAUGUGCCAGAAGAGACUGACUGACUGUGAAGGUGUCAUACUUAGAUCCAGCUGCAUGGUCCAACUAUUCCCUACAGCUGAGGAGUGGAACUUCUGGAAGGCUGUCAUGUCCUAACUAUGAACCAGUUCUGGAGUUCUUCUCUAGGAUUCUCCAAGGAAGAGAGAGACAACAUGGGUGUGUGCUGCAGUUCCCCAGCCUUCUUCCAGAAUGGAUUUAGUUACUGCCAUGCUCUGCAGAAGGAGCACAGCCAGUCCUCUCAAAAAACAGAGCCAAAAACUGCUGCUGGCAGGAUCUGGCCAAGAGGAAUCUCACCAGGGAUCUUGAAAACUUCCCAUUGGACUAAAGUGAUGAGGACACUGCACUGCUGGAAUUAUCAUCACUGCUGUACCUUCUGCUUGCAGCCGUGCCCCAGUAGGCACCUCAAUGCUGCCUCUAUUGCCCCAUCAGCACCAGCUGGAUGCAAGAAAGCAGCUGAUGUGGGAGUCGUGUACUGCUGGGAAACAGGUGACAGCUGUAAGCAGGAGAUGGCACUCAGCAGUGUUUGUGAUUGCAAAGCUCCCUCUGACACAACACCCAUAAAAAACAUUCAGGGUGGGGAGCUAGACAGCUGGAGCUCUUUGCCACGCAAACACUGGGAAGAAAGGGGGAAAAUCUGGUUAUUGCACCAGGAAAAGUAAGUAGCUGGUUCCCCAGGAGAACAGACAGUGCCUUCACAGCUGAAGCCCCUCAGUGGGAUUAGGCCCUAACCAGUUGUCCUUGAAGUAAGCUGGGAGCCAAAGCCAGCAGUGGAAAGAGAACUAGCCAGAAACACAAAUUGUGAUAGAUAGUGACCUGAGCCUGAGGAUACCCCAGCUCAGGGUACCAAAGGGAGAAGAGCUAUUCAGACAGACUCCCAGAAGAUGACUGGGUUGAACCACCUCCAUUCUGGCAGUACCAUCUAUUUCAGAGUGAAGGGCACACAGCAGGUUGUUUCUCACUAUCAUGAAGAUUGCUUCAGGAUCAGGACUACAACUCCUGUCACUUCUCAUGGCAGCCAACACAUCCCUUUGCUUUCCUGGAUCUUGCCCUGCCCGCCUUUGCUUCCAGCAAAGCUAAAGACUUUAGCUUUGCUGGAAGACCAGGCAGACCUGACCUCCACUGAGGCUGGUGUGAUGCCCCAGUCUCUGGAUCAGAAAUGGUCACAAUGAUGUGAAAAUUUUCUUCUUCAGCCUGGUUUUCAAAGAUAUCAAUCAUCUCUUCCUUUCUUCCUCAUCAUUCAAUCAUCUAUAAUUGGCUUAUUUUUCUGCUAUUCAGUGAAUCUUCUGUCAUUUAGAAAAUGCAACAAGAACUGUAAGUUCUUACACUACAGUGCAUUUUCUAUCCAGUAGAUUUAUAAACCUAAAAGCCCUUCUUUCUAGAUGAUAUCAACUGCAUUUUUGCUCUGAUUUGGUUUUGGUCUAGAGAGCUAAAAAAUACAUUCUAAAGCUAACCCUGUCCAAGGAGUUUAUAUAUAUAAAGAAAUUGCUGCAGUAUCUAAUCCUGAACACAACACUCAAGAGGUAAUAUUAUUGCUCUGACAUAUAUUUGAAAAAUGUGAGAUGAGAUUAAGGGCAAAGAGAGCUGAAUCUGAGAGCAUUCUAUACUACAAAGUUCAAAACACAAACUAAACCAGGAAGUCUCAGUUACAAAAAGAACACAAUUAUACCAGCUUUACGAGUGUUUUAAACACAACCAACUUCAUUUAUGACCUUGUACCAAAUGAUUUAAGCCCAGUUUAACUGCUUUAGGAAAGUGUCCAAGAUGCUAUCAGUGGGGCAAGACUGAGCUGAUCCAAAGCUCUUUCUGAAAGACAUGGGAGUCCAGGAAACAGCAGAGCUAGUCCCAGACUGCCUCCCAGUCUGUCUUCCUCCAUUUUAUUUUAUUACUUUCACUUUAGGGCAAUUGUUUGACAUACUCAUUCAUAGGGUCUAAGAGUUCCCACCAUCUGUAUUCUGUUAUGUGUAAGCUUAAGGAAAGAAGGGAGAAGAGAGAGAAAUGUGAAGCAAUAACAGCUGCAUAAUUUCUGCUUUGUUUAUUUGUUCUUUCUCCUUUCACACACUGGUAUUAAACAUUCUUUUUCGUUCUCCUGUAUUUCCCAACUUUUUCCUCCUACACACUCCCAUAAUACAAUAUCUAUCUCCCAUAAUACAAUGUCUUGAGGAUGUUUUUCAAUUAAAUAGCAAAAUAUAAACAGCUUCAUACUUCAAUACUUUUGUGCUACUUCUACCUAUCAUUAGUCAUUUUAGUGAAAGCACUUUGGAUUGUAUAACUCCAGUACUUCUAUCAAAGUAAAACUAGUUUCUCAAACUUCCUUUAUAUUUAUUACUCUGAAAUGAGGCACAUGCAUUCAGCAUCUAUAUGCAAACACAGCACUCUUUUGCAAGGUACAUAUAUAGGAUUUUCUUGUUUCUGAGAUGCAAGACCACCUUUCUCCCUAUAAAAGCCUAGAAGUAUACAUGCUCCCCAAUCUCAAAUUGUCCUGCAUAAGACCCAUCUGCUCCAGACAACUACAGCAUGUCAGAAAUUAACUGUUUUAAAUGAAUUUUGUAUAACAUGUAACUAAAAGGGGGAAUAUAAACAUCUCCUUGAAUGUUGCAUUAUCUGAACAUGAACAACACAGAACAGAGUGCCAUGGAAUUAUGGUCAAUUUAGUCAAUUAGCUAUUUUGGUCACUAAUCUAUUAUUCAUUGCAUUUUGAUAAACAAUGGGUUUUUAUGGCUUAAUAACAAAUUCUCCAUCUGGUUUGCCUACAUAGACUCCUGCCUGCACUUGCAAAUUCCCUCAGUAAGCCUGUAUUAUUUGCCAACAGUUUUUUGUCAAAACUAGCUCUGCUUAUGAAGUUGUCCUGAAAUUAGGGAUACACAGCUGUUCUUUCUUGCCAAGAGAAUAUUCCCAAGUGUAUUUUUACCUGCCAAUACCUCUCUGAAAUACGCAUGUCCAGAACUCAAAAAGUGGAAAAUUCUGCUGUAAAAAAAUAAACAAUCCCACAUGAACUGCAAUUUGUUUAUUUGUGAUAGCUUACACAUUUGCCUAUAUGCAUGUACCAAAAGGCAGGAAACCUGUUUUAUUAAUAAACAUCUUUUAAAUUCA